Molecule: unclassified non-coding RNA, 240 nt
Filed under: soil metagenome
Description: partial contains 5.8S ribosomal RNA, internal transcribed spacer 2, and large subunit ribosomal RNA
Source: RNAcentral
AACGAGGCCGACCUGCGGCUGAGUUACCUGCGGAGGGAUCAUUAAAAAAAGUUUUUGCCUGCGGACUUGUUUCCAAGGCGCAAAAAACCCACACCGUGUGCACCGUUAUCGUUUCUUUGGCAGGGUUUGAGACGAUUGGUUUUUUUUCCUUUCUCUCAACUUCUCCUCUAGCUCUAUCCUUCGUUAUUUCGUUGGACAGCCUGGACAUGGGAAGCAGUUUUUUUUUAACUACCCCUGCCA